AGCUCCAAUAGUGUAUCUUAAAGUUGUUGCAGUUAAAAAGCUCGUAGUUGAAUUUCUGACAGGACAGCGAUCUUAGUGAGAGCAAGUCUAUGUCAUCCGCCUUGGGAACCUCGUUCGUCACUUGUGUCAACGGGGGGAACUGGCAAUUUACUUUGAAGAAAUUAGAGUGUUCCUAGCAGGCUAUGCUUGAAUACAUCAGC
RNAcentral lists this ribosomal RNA (200 nucleotides) under uncultured eukaryote. Its description in RNAcentral is "partial 18S ribosomal RNA". It matches the Rfam family "Eukaryotic small subunit ribosomal RNA", at positions 587 to 808 of the family's 1831-position model. The record is from RNAcentral.